UUUGCUUCUGACCUUCAAAUAAUUGAGGAGGGCUCUGGUUGUUGCUCCUCUGCUUCUAGCCACUCUCUUUAAACUAUGUGUUGUGUGUUCUCUAAUGAGAAUAACUAUGCUAAUGUGAUUUCUCUUUACAAUGGUGAAUGGUGAUCUUUCUUUUAAUUAUAACUGUGUAUAAAACAUUAUCUCUAUUAAAGAGAAUCACAUAUCCAAGAUGUAUUGAUGCUUCAACUUUCUUUUCAACGUUCACUAUUUAAACCCAUGCAUAAUGCAUUCCUUUGUUCGCACUUCGUAUUUUAAUUGAAAUAUUUAGGUAAGUCAUGCCUGUCUCUUUUCUUUUUUUCUUUUUCUUAUAACCAAGUCCUGCCUUUCUUGGUUUGUCACUUUCUCAUAAUCUUAUCCGUGAGUAUUGAUCUCUCUACGAAAAUUUCAAUUGACCAUCUCAAAGAACUUGUAAAAUGCUCUUCCUUAUUAUCAUCCUUUUUUUCCCUAAAAUUUAGUAUUUGUCUUUAGCAUAUUUUGUUUUAGUUGAAAACGAUUGAUAAAUUAGUGUUACAUCCAAAUGCUGGAAUUUUAUAAUAAAAUAAAGAAGUUAGUAGGGUUCAUGUUAGAUGUGUAAAAUACUUUUUUCACUAAGACAUUAGAUUUCUGUUUCGAUAGAUUAUUAUAAAUUCUUCAGUUUGUUGAUGUCAUUACUAUUGACUCUUUCAGUUAAAAAUGUCACAGAAAGUAGGACCUUUCGGUGGUAACAAAGGAGAUCCAUUCGACGAUAGCGUUUUUGGUUACAACGGUGUGAGGAAAGUGAUUGUUGGGGAAAACGGUAACGGCGUGGAUUGUAUCAAAAUCGAAUACGAGAAAGACGGCAAAUUCGAGACACAAAUGCACGGAAGUGUCACCGGAGUACUAAAAGAGGUUGCAUAACUUUGUCUACAUAUGAUACUGCAUUUCUAAUUAUAUGUGUUGACUAUACCAUUCUCUGUUUUUUGCUCUGUUUCUUCUUUGUUGCAGUUUGUACUUAACUAUAUCACAUCAAUUCAGGCAAGCUAUAGCGAUGUUGCGAGAUACAACACAACUAUCGUGAAGUCUCUUAUCUUCAAGACAUCACACGGGAGAAAAUCUCCCAUGUAUGGUCAGAUAGCGAUUUUUAAAACAGAUUUCGUGGUGGAAGGUAAUUGUGGAGCAAAACUUACCGGGUUCCAUGGAAGGUCUGGUACUGCUCUGUUUGCUAUUGGAGCUCAUUUUCUCGCGCCUUCUUCUCCUGUGAAGCAGUUAGAACCUCAAGGUGGAGACAGAGGAUAUGCUUGGGAUGAUGGUGUUUACGAUGGUGUAAGUAAAAUAUCGGUUACACAAGAUGGUAGCUACCUAAGCUAUGUUAAGUUCAAGUAUGUUAAAGGAAGCACAUCUGUUCGGCAUUCUCACGGAAAGAUGAACCAAGAACCAAAAGAGUUUAAGGUUGAUUAUCCAAAUGAAUUUAUUACAUCAGUGGAAGGAACUUACAUUUUUGUGGUUAUGUAACCUCGCUUACUUUCAAAACAUCAAAGUGUAGAAUCUCUCCUGUAUUUGGAAAAGUGUCUAGUAAGAAAUUCGUCCUUGCGGUGCUUGUCGGAUUCCGUGGACGUAAUAGUGAAAGUGACAAUGCUCUCAGAGCACUUGGAGCAAAUUUUGCGCCAGUUCCAGCUCCAGUUGCACCGGUUCCAGCGCCAGUCCCCACACAAGUUCCGGCUAAGAAACUAGAAGCAAAAGGCGGAGAUGGAGGAGCCAUGUGGGAUGAUGGUUUCUAUGAAGAUGUGAGGAAGGUAUAUGUAGGACAAGGUGACUCCGGUGUGUCUUUUGUUAAGUUUGAGUAUGCUAAUCGCAAGGAGCUUGUAGCUGGAGUUGGCCAUGGGAAGAUGUCAAUUCUUGGAACAGAGGAGGUUUUUGUGCUCUGUUCUCGUAUUGACCUAAUAAUGUUUUCUUGAGAUCCAAGUUUCACUGGUCUUUGUAUUUUGUGGCAGUUUGUGCUCGAUUCUCCAAAUGAAUACAUUGUAUCGGUGGAGGGAAGUUACGAUAAAUUAUUUGGAGUGGAAGGCGAGUUGGUGACGAUGCUUAGGUUCAAGACAAACAAGCGUACCUCUCCACCGUUUGGGCUCGAUGCAGGCACAACGUUUGCGUUGGAGAUGAAAGAUCAUAAGAUCGUUGGAUUCCAUGGCAAAGCUGGAGAUUUUGUUCAUCAAGUUGGUAUCCACGUCACCCAAAUCACCAAGUCUUAAAGCUUUGUGAGCUUUCUCUUCUAUUCCUAGAAUAAAAUUAAAAAGCCAUGUCUGUUUGUUACUCCUCAGCUUCUAGUUACUCUCUUUUAACUAUGUCUUGCUUCGUUUGUUUGUUAUGUGUUAUGAAGUGGUCUGCUUCUUUGAAUAAAGCAUCGUUUUGUUGGAAUGUGAUAAACUGAUAAUUGUGUUAUGCUAUACUUGGAUGCAUGAGGAUAAAUGAAAACUAACUAUUCAACUAAACCCUAAAACCUAUACGAUCAAAAUUAUAGUAAAUAGUAACACUUAAUGAGACUUUAAAGUUGAGAUGUGUAACUAGUCACCACUCACUCAUGUUAGUGAUUCAUGUGUGUGUCAGUGUGUGUGUGUGUGUUUUUAUCAAGGUCUUCUCUUAAGAUUCAUAAGUGUGAAUCUGGUGGGACUUAAUUGGUCUGGUGGAGUAGAACCUAUGCGGGCAAUGAGGAAGGUUAAGGUAGGCUAACCGAGCCCACUCUCUAAGUGUUUAAUUUGUAACCUUAAUUCGUAAAUAAAAGCUGUUUAAUUUGUAACCUUUAUUAGAUAAAAUUUUGUCUUUUUUUUUGUCAAAAGAUAAAAUGUUGUCAAUCAUUUUAAAAACAAAGAAAAAAACUUUUUUGGCAAGAAUUUAUAUAUUUGCUUGUCAUAAAUUUUCCAUUUUGUAGUAUUUUGAAAAAAAUAUUUUAACGAAUGGAAGCAAUAACUCGACAAAAAGAGUCAAACUAAAGUACCUUCACAUGCAAAACAAAACGUAAAUUUGGUAUUUUUUUCCCAUUAAAAAAAAUAUAUAUAUAUUCUUGGCCUUGUGUGCGAAGACGAUCGAGAACGAGAAGAACGAUAAGCUCAAUACGCACGAACGUAGAUCGAAGACUGGAAAGGUAUAUCUUCAUCAAAAUAUUCAUGAUUAUGGUUGAGUUUAAUUUUGUUUACGUAUUUGUUUUAAUUUUUCAAAAGUCCACUGUUGGCUGGCUGUUGCUAUCUUGGAAUGAUUUUCAUAUCUCAAUAACUAUUGUUUACUCUAAGUUAAAUUAUUGGGGUGCUAUUUAUGAUGACUGAUGAAGUGAUGGGAACAUGAUUGCAAUAUUAAAAUCUCUUUUUUAUUUAUAUUAAUUAUAAGUUUGUACCCACUUCAUUUUAAAUAGAUAAUGCCAAGACGUAGGUAUAUUAUUACUGAAUUUAUUUUUUAAUAAUAAGUAAAUAUGCAGGUUUCAACUAGAAAGGUAACACAUCAACAAGAAAUACCAAAAACCACUAGCUUACAUAUUUUGAUCAUAUAAGUAUUGAAUAAUAUAGUUAUAGAUGAUCAAAUAGUUAUUAUUAAUUACUUAGCUAGUGUAAUUUCUAUCGAUUGUUUCACAUUCGCAACAGAUAAUUAUAUAAAUAAAUACAUACUACAUGUUAACCUUUGUUUUUGUUAAAUAGGAUGUUUUCUUGAUUGAUGAUCUAGAUCAACUUUUAAUAAUUUAUACGUACCAGCUUUCAUUCGAUCGUGCGACUUCUUGGAAUAUCCCAUGGUACAUUUGCAGUCGAGCUAGAAAGCUUUUUUGAUAAUUUAUGAAUCAUAUUAAGCGUCUCUCAAUUAGAUUAAUAUUUAGUACCAGUGUAAAUGAUACAAUUAUAAAUCUUUUUACCAACGAAUACAGAAUUUGUUUUAGAAAUAUUCUUCGCAAAAUUUUAUAAUAUUUCAUAAAUCAGUUAUAAAAAAAAAAAAAGCAGUUUUGAAUUCAGAGGAAUUCGUAAAUUUCCCUAAGAGUUAUUAAAACUAGUUGUGAUAUUUUGGAGUAUUCUUUAUGGCUAGAUCCAUAUGAUCCGGUUCUUGUAUCUAGAUUUUUUUUACGGAAUAUUGUAUGAUAUAUCUAGUCUCCUCUUUGGUUCUAAACUUCUAAUUAAUCUUCGGUGAUUUGAAUUAAACGUUACUGUUUUUAAAUUAUGAUUAAGGCUUUAAAACAUGUUCAUACAAUAAUUACCAAAUCUUAACCAAUUAGACUCUUAAUAAGGAGAACGUAUAUAUAUGUUGCAACUUGCAACUUUAGCCCUUUACAAAUAAUUAAUCGUACAUAAUCUAAUUGAUAAACGAUUCUUUAAAUUUUAAAACAAUGAAUUAGCUUGCUGCCAUCGUUUAAUGGGCCAACGCCAAUAUAAAGACGAUUAGUUGAGAAGUUGUGCAAGUAGAAGUAUAUGAAUAUUUUCAUUAUCUAAAAAAAAAAAUGUAUAUGAACAUGCGUUUUUCCCAGUAAUGCUUUUUAUAUAAAUAUGCCUCGUGGAUCACGAAAGAAUAAAUUAUUAUUUCCCUUAUUAUUUCAUCUAGUACGAUCAAUAUCAAGAAGUCAAUAUAAAUAAACAUACAAUUCACUUUAAUUGAUCAUAGCACCGAUAACAAUCUACUCUCUUUAAAAGGUCUUAUCUCUAUUCUUCUCUAUUAUGUAAAAAUUGGUUAAUAGUAGAUAUUAACAAUUUAUUUUUGCAACUACAGAAAUUCGUAAGUACUAUCAAGAAGCAGAAGAUGGCCCAAAAGGUGGAAGCACAAGGAGGGAAAGGAGCCAACCUAUGGGACGAUGGAUCGACACAUGACGCCGUGACCAAGAUUCAGCUCGCAGCAGGCAUAGACGGAAUUCAAUAUGUUCAGUUUGAUUAUGUCAAGAACGGACAACCCGAACAAGCUCCUCUUCGUGGUACCAAAGGCC
Molecule: long non-coding RNA, 4939 nt
Filed under: Arabidopsis thaliana (thale cress)
Lineage: Eukaryota; Viridiplantae; Streptophyta; Magnoliopsida; Brassicales; Brassicaceae
Description: long non-coding RNA (ATHA_LNC000096)
Source: RNAcentral